Molecule: ribosomal RNA, 468 nt
Filed under: uncultured bacterium
Lineage: Bacteria
Description: partial 16S ribosomal RNA
Rfam family: Bacterial small subunit ribosomal RNA
Source: RNAcentral
GACGAACGCUGGCGGCGUGCUUAACACAUGCAAGUCGAACGGAAAGGCCCUGCUUUUGUGGGGUGCUCGAGUGGCGAACGGGUGAGUAACACGUGAGUAACCUGCCCUUGACUUUGGGAUAACUUCAGGAAACUGGGGCUAAUACCGUAUAGGAUCUCCUGCUGCAUGGUGGGGGUUGGAAAGUUUCGGCGGUUGGGGAUGGACUCGCGGCUUAUCAGCUUGUUGGUGGGGUAGUGGCUUACCCAGGCAUUGACGGGUAGCCGGCCUGAGAGGGUGACCGGCCACAUUGGGACUGAGAUACGGCCCAGACUCCUACGGGAGGCAGCAGUGGGGAAUAUUGCACAAUGGGCGGAAGCCUGAUGCAGCAACGCCGCGUGCGGGAUGACGGCUUUCGGGUUGAAAACCGCUUUCGCCUGUGACGAAGCGUGAGUGACGGUAAUGGGUAAAGAAGCACCGGCUAACUACGUG